UACGUAGGGUGCAAGCGUUAUCCGGAAUUACUGGGCGUAAAGGGCGCGUAGGCGGUUCGUUAAGUCCUGUGUGAAAUCCCCCGGCUCAACUGGGGAACUGCACAGGAAACUAGCGGGCUUGAGUUCGGGAGAGGGAAGCGGAAUUCCGGGUGUAGCGGUGAAAUGCGUAGAUAUCCGGAGGAACACCGGUGGCGAAGGCGGCUUCCUGGACCGACACUGACGCUGAGGCGCGAAAGCUAGGGGAGCAAACGGG
This 253-nucleotide ribosomal RNA is filed under the name uncultured bacterium. RNAcentral describes it as "partial 16S ribosomal RNA". It matches the Rfam family "Bacterial small subunit ribosomal RNA", at positions 524 to 776 of the family's 1533-position model. The record is from RNAcentral.